AUAGUGAACAACUGGAAACACCCUAAAUACCCCCCACCAGGGGCCUGCUGCAUAAAGCACGGGGCAUCCACACUACGCAAGCCCCACAGCAGCUAAUAAGAAGUAGGGAGAUGUACCCGCUGAGGUGAGAAGCUCUCUGAGGUCUAAUACUAAAUGGAAAAAAAGCAAGUUGCAGAAUGAUAGAUCCAAUAUGGUAUCAUUCAUUUUUUAAUCAAAAAUCAAUAUAACAUUGUUUCUGUGGAUACACAUAACACUAUAUUUCACUGAACGUAAGACACCGUGGAUGGUAAAAUGCACCAUUAUUUUACAGACCACUGAAAAAGAAAAACAAAACCCACUGUCAAUUAAACCAUGACAAGCCACUAGUUGAAAGAUGCACCUCAAUUUCAGAAAUGUUAAAAUGUGUCUUAGAAUCUAUGAAAUACAGUAUUACGUAAAGGUGUAGGAGAAGGUCUGGAAUCAAGAAAGCCAAAAUGGUAAUAACAGUAGUUAACAAGGGGGUGGGGACAGCCUGAAGCCUAUCUUUGAAAUUUUUACAAACAGAAUACAUUUAUGGCCAGACGCAGUAGCUCAUGCCUCUAAUCCCAACACUUUGGGAGGCUGAGGCAGGAGGAUGGCUUGAGCCCAGGAGUUCAAGAGCAG
RNAcentral lists this long non-coding RNA (642 nucleotides) under Homo sapiens (human). RNAcentral's name for it is "HSALNT0230697". The record is from RNAcentral. Lineage: Eukaryota; Metazoa; Chordata; Mammalia; Primates; Hominidae.